UGUAAAAUAAGUUAAGGAAACUGUUGGGCUCAUGUCUCAAAUACAGGGAUGGAAUUUCUCUUUUUACUU
RNAcentral lists this transfer RNA (69 nucleotides) under Ophiosteira antarctica. RNAcentral's name for it is "tRNA-Met". The record is from RNAcentral. Lineage: Eukaryota; Metazoa; Echinodermata; Ophiuroidea; Amphilepidida; Ophiuridae.